UGGCUUUCAAAUACACAAGCAACAACCACUACACAAAAACCUAUGGCGCUUCUUGGGUUGGGAUUUUGAGAUUGAACCCUAAGCAAAGCGAACAGAAGACAACUUCCUCUCAACAAUCAUUUCCCUUUGUCAUCCUUUUCCUGGCUUCUGUUAAGGAAGGGGAAAUUGAAGUCAUCCAGCUGACAAUCACAGUUCCACAGAUACCUCAAUGGGCUGCUGCCUCUACCUGCAUAGUCUUCUUCUGGUACUGGAACCACUCUAUAUAAAUUGUUGAUGAAUAAGUAUCCUGCUUGUAGAAACUCAGGCACCAACUGGAAGACCCAGAGGCUGUGGGUCAACCCACCUGCAUCUGUGACAUCACAGCUCUAUAAACAAUGUUUGUAUGUUUUUAUUCAGAAAACAAAGAUAUUUCUAAUUUAAAAAAAUUUAAAAAAACUUAAAGAAUGCUGUCUUUUAAAAAAUAUUUAUUUAUUGGCAUGAGUUAAGAAUCACCCAAAUUUCUUUUACAUGCCUAUAAAAAUGAUAUAAUUUGUUUUCUUUAAGUUACUGAUUUACUGUGUAAUAUUUAUGAAUUGUUAAAUAUUGCAUUGGGGUUGGAUUCCCAAUUUGAUUUAUUACUUUCCUAUUAUAUUGCUUAAUUUAGAGUAGUUUAUUUAGAUUGUCAUAUCUACAGCUAACUACAAUCAAUUCACUUCUAAUUUUGUAAAAACUUCAGCAGCUCUAAGGAUUGAGUUAGCCAUUGCCUUGUAAUUAUAACGGGUAACUAUCUUUUUGAUCCUUGACUUGGAAUGAAUAGUUGACACUGAAAUUGCUAAAGAAUAAUGUGGAAAAUCCCUCUCACACUGUUCACCUUCAUUGCUGUGGAUAAUCUUUAACAACUUUAUUUUCUCAGUUGCUCUGUUCAGGUUUUUUACCUCUUACUAUGUUAAUUUUGAUGUUAGUUUUGCUGUUAUUCUAGUACUUGUUGGUCUGUUUUACAGAAUAUGAUCCCUUUCAUUGCUAUUUCUAAAUUUAUCACAAAACUGUGAGAGAAAUCCAUUAUAAUUUAAUCAUUUUAUCCAUUACGAUGUAUGAUAUACCCUUUGUAAUGGUGAUGUCUUAUUUUGAUUAAACUUAAUUAUAUAUUUUUUUAUUUUGACUUCAUAAAAACCAUAUUUUGGAUUAUUCAUUACUUUUACUAAUUUUUAGCCCUGUAUUUUUUUCUGAAUUUUGAAAUUUAUUUUGAAAUAAAUAAUUUCCUUUUCUCA
This 1247-nucleotide long non-coding RNA is filed under the name Homo sapiens (human). RNAcentral's name for it is "HSALNT0165462". Lineage: Eukaryota; Metazoa; Chordata; Mammalia; Primates; Hominidae. The record is from RNAcentral.